AGCAGCCGCGGUAAUUCCAGCUCCAAUAGCGUAUAUUAAAGUUGUUGCAGUUAAAAAGCUCGUAGUUGAAUUUCGGGGUUGGUAGAUUGGUCAUGCCUCUGGUAUGCACUGGUCUUACUGGCUCCUCCUUCCUGAUGAACCGUAAUGCCAUUAAUUUGGUGUUGCGGGGAGACUGGACUGUUACUUUGAAAAAAUUAGAGUGUUUAAAGCAGGCUAACGCUUGAAUACAUUAGCAUGGAAUAAUGAAAUAGGACGUUCGAUCUUAUUUUGUUGGUUUCUAAGAUUGACGUAAUGAUUAAUAGGGAUAGUUGGGGGCAUUAGUAUUCAAUUGUCAGAGGUGAAAUUCUUGGAUUUAUUGAAGACUAACUACUGCGAAAGCAUUUGUCCGAGGAUGUUUUCAUUAAUCAAGAACGAAAGUUAGGGGAUCGAAGACGAUCAGAUACCGUCGUAGUCUUAACCAUAAACUAUAGCCGACUAGGGAUCGGAUGAUGUUAAUUUUUUAAUGA
RNAcentral lists this ribosomal RNA (506 nucleotides) under uncultured Glomus. RNAcentral's name for it is "SSU rRNA". It matches the Rfam family "Eukaryotic small subunit ribosomal RNA", at positions 569 to 1077 of the family's 1831-position model. Lineage: Eukaryota; Fungi; Glomeromycota; Glomeromycetes; Glomerales; Glomeraceae. The record is from RNAcentral.